This 562-nucleotide long non-coding RNA is filed under the name Brassica rapa (field mustard). RNAcentral describes it as "long non-coding RNA (BRAP_LNC004905)". Lineage: Eukaryota; Viridiplantae; Streptophyta; Magnoliopsida; Brassicales; Brassicaceae. The record is from RNAcentral.
AGUUCACCGGUGAUUUCAUUUGGAGCAACUCCCAAUUUGAUCGCAGGACAAAGAUCUGGAGAAGAAAGAAAUAUAAGUUAGUAGGAGUAAAAAUAUAUUCAACACAAAAUUACUUAAAGCUUGAAGAAUCAACAAGAUAUAUCAAAAAACGAUAAAACAUAACACUAUGUUCCUCAUCGAUAAAUAUUUAUAAGGUGUUAUAAAUUUGAAAUUUUUAAAACCUCAUGAGAAAAGCUUCGUCUUCUUUCCCAGAAAUUGAUCGAUUAUGAGAAAAAUUACAGAAAGUGACGAAAAUCACCAUAUAUUAUCCUCUCACCUUUGUUACGUGUUAGUGGUAAGAAGUCGUUUUGUUCUGUUCGUUUGAGGUUGAAGUCUUCGUCAAAUCUCACCAAACGUCAGCCUCAUCAAAUCUCGUCGGAGAAUUCGUCGGCGUCGUCAAAUCUCGCCGGAGAACUCGCCGGUGUCGUCAAAUCUCGCCGGAAAACUCGUCAGAAUCAUCGAAUCUCGCCGGAUUUGAUCACCGAAGAGCAUUUGAUAGAUUGUUAUUAGUGGAUCUGAGAUU